GAUGAAGAACGUAGCGAAAUGCGAUAAGUAAUGUGAAUUGCAGAAUUCAGUGAAUCAUCGAAUCUUUGAACGCACAUUGCGCCCGCCAGUAUUCUGGCGGGCAUGCCUGUUCGAGCGUCAUUACAACCCUCAGGCCCCCGGGCCUGGCGUUGGGGAUCGGCGGAGCCCCCCGUGGGCACACGCCGUCCCCCAAAUGCAGUGGCGGUCCCGCCGCAGCUUCCAUCGCGUAGUAGCUAACACCUCGCGACUGGAGAGCGGCGCGGCCACGCCGUAAAACACCCACCUCUUCUGAAGUUGAUCUCGAAUCAGGUAGGAAUACCCGCUGAACUUAAGCAUAUCAAUAAGCGGAGGA
Molecule: unclassified non-coding RNA, 352 nt
Filed under: soil metagenome
Description: partial contains 5.8S ribosomal RNA, internal transcribed spacer 2, and large subunit ribosomal RNA
Rfam family: 5.8S ribosomal RNA (bases 1-120)
Source: RNAcentral